GUGCACUGCUGGUCAUCAGAGCAGCAUUCCUUUAGGCCCUUCUCCCCUGUCCAAGAUUUGGUAGCAAUCCAGAACUUCUCACCCUGCAAAGGAGCAGUCGUUUUGAAUGAUAUAAAGGAAAUGGUUCAAAUCCAUCUGUAUCCUCUCAUUAAAGAGAACAGCCUGGACUGGACACUGAACGCAUUAUACUUUCCAGGGAAACAGAAAUGGCUUGAGAAUUCCUAGUACGAGCUGCUCCAGACCUAAUCUUCGGCAGUGACAAGGCAGAAUGGAAAAGUGAUGAGUGGAUUUUAGAAGACAGGGAUGUGUGGAAAGGCUCUUCUAAAUAAACACAGUUGGUGCGUGUGGUAAUUCUUAGGGCUUUGCUUAUUGUUUCCUGUUCAGCAGGACUUUCCUCUUACAUUUGUGUGUGUGCAUAUAAACAGCUAUGACUCCAUUUGAGGCAAAAGAAUUUUAAAUUUCCCCCCAUCAACAGCUACCCUCCCCUUCCAGGUCUUUUUUUUCUGGCUCCAGUCCAGCAAAUCAGUUAAGCAGAUCCUUAACUUUAAGCACGAGACUCGUCCCAGUGAAGUCCAUGGUUAAGUGUCUUGCUGAUUAGUACCUCAGUCCAGGAAGAGCUUUUUGCGUUUGGUUGUCUUUCCUAACUUGUGGCCAGUUACCUCCUUCCAGAACUUCUUCAUUUUUACUUUUUUCCACUUGUAGGUAAGUGACUUUGAUUAGCUAAGAAUUCCUUGCAAAACACUUGCACAGAAUUCAAAUGCCUGGUCAAAGACUCUGGCCUUAAACUUAAAAAUCUUAGCUAAUAAGCAAGUGUCAAAAGAGAGGUUUGGCAACCCAGAUGGUGCCCUAACACCAACGUAGAAAUGCCCAUUAAUAACAUACCAAAUUACUUACGUUCUAUCGGCAGCUACUUGAGCUUCCCAACCUUUUCC
Molecule: long non-coding RNA, 932 nt
Organism: Chelonia mydas (Green sea turtle)
Lineage: Eukaryota; Metazoa; Chordata; Testudines; Cheloniidae
Exons: 3
Source: RefSeq, a predicted model, not a curated record